GACGAACGCUGGCGGCGUGCUUAACACAUGCAAGUCGAACGCUGAAGCUUGGUGCUUGCACUGGGUGGAUGAGUGGCGAACGGGUGAGUAAUACGUGAGUAACCUGCCCUUGACUCUGGGAUAAGCCUGGGAAACUGGGUCUAAUACUGGAUACGACAUGUCACCGCAUGGUGGUGUGUGGAAAGGGUUUUACUGGUUUUGGAUGGGCUCACGGCCCAUCAGCUUGUUGGUGGGGUAAUGGCUCACCAAGGCGACGACGGGUAGCCGGCCUGAGAGGGUGAACGGCCACACUGGGACUGAGACACGGCCCAGACUCCUACGGGAGGCAGCAGUGGGGAAUAUUGCACAAUGGGCGGAAGCCUGAUGCAGCGACGCCGCGUGAGGGAUGACGGCCUUCGGGUUGUAAACCUCUUUCAGCACGGAAGAAGCGAAAGUGACGGUACGUGCAGAAGAAGCGCCGGCUAACUACGUG
Molecule: ribosomal RNA, 472 nt
Filed under: uncultured bacterium
Lineage: Bacteria
Description: partial 16S ribosomal RNA
Rfam family: Bacterial small subunit ribosomal RNA
Source: RNAcentral